GCACGUGCUCCGGGGUCGGUGAAAUUCCGAGCCGGCGGUGACAGUCCGCGACCCGGUACCAGCAGCAUCGGUACCGGCUGACCUGGUGGAACUCCGGGACCGACGGUGAAAGUCCGGAUGGGAGGCAGCACGUGG
RNAcentral lists this non-coding RNA (135 nucleotides) under Georgenia sp. Its description in RNAcentral is "FMN sequence". It matches the Rfam family "FMN riboswitch aptamer (RFN element)". Rfam says of the family: The RFN element is a highly conserved domain that is found frequently in the 5'-untranslated regions of prokaryotic mRNAs that encode for flavin mononucleotide (FMN) biosynthesis and transport proteins. The record is from RNAcentral. Lineage: Bacteria; Bacillati; Actinomycetota; Actinomycetes; Allobogoriellales; Allobogoriellaceae.